CCUCGGGAUUGUUACAUGGGCAGUGUUCUUAAUAGCAAGAGAAUCUGAGUAAAUGGGUUUUAUUCUGAGCAGAGAAGGCAACAAGCCAUGGAGAAUAACUUGUUCUAAGCAGAGGAAUAUUGUGGAGUGUAAACAGUCUGCCUUUGCCUCAGCUGGGCUCUCCUUAGAGCUGUACCCUGAUGAGCAUGACCAGCAGGAAGCUCUUUGUGUGUGGCUCUGGGGAUCUUUUCCUGCUUGUUUAACCAAACUGGGAGGAUUCUUCAGGUGCUGUUCACGUCUGCCCUGUCUGAGCCCAGCCUGCCACAGCCCUGCCUGGACAUGAGUCUGAGCAGCUCACACUUCACCAUGCUCCAUGUCCAUCCUCUCCUGCACCCAUGGAAGCACCCAUGAAGAACUUGUCAGUGAC
RNAcentral lists this long non-coding RNA (406 nucleotides) under Parus major (Great Tit). RNAcentral's name for it is "lncRNA (ENSPMJG00000007205.1)". The record is from RNAcentral. Lineage: Eukaryota; Metazoa; Chordata; Aves; Passeriformes; Paridae.